Molecule: long non-coding RNA, 177 nt
Organism: Octopus sinensis (East Asian common octopus)
Lineage: Eukaryota; Metazoa; Mollusca; Cephalopoda; Octopoda; Octopodidae
Exons: 2
Source: RefSeq, a predicted model, not a curated record
UAUUUCGACUGUCACUACGUUCUGAGUUCAAAUUCCGCCGUGGUCGACUUUGCCUUUCAUCCUUUCGGGGUCGAUUAAAUAAGUACCAGUUAUGCACUGGGGAGGUUGAUGUAAUCGACUUAAUCCCCUUGCCUGUCCUGUUUGUCCCCAAUAUGUUUAGCACCCUCGUGGGCAAUA